CAGAUCAAUCUUUCAACACCACACUCUGCUGGCCAGUCCCAACAACAGGUCUGCCCUUCCUGCAUACCCGAUGUGACAUAAUGUGCUGCAGAGGGAUUCUAUUCCCCAAGGUACCCCACCCUUUCCAGUGCUUCAGGGCCCAAAUACUCAGCACACAUGCCUGUGACCGGCCCCCAAGCUUAGGCACUUCCCACCCCAGAGAAAACUCGCUGCUGGUUCGGAUUCUGGAGCGAGUGCCAGGGUGGCUCAAUGCCAGCAAUAAAGGCCAGUGACAUAAGCCGGAAGGUUGGUUCUGUGGCCUUGAAACCUUACCCCUCUACCCACCCAACAUAAGGUGUUUUGCCAGCAGAAAAUGUCAAGCCAUUAACUUCAGACCCUGGGACAGAGAGACAUGCAGCAGCCAUGUUUGCUAGCGCCAUCGCUCCCUGCAGUGCUUCAGAGCACCCAUGCUGUACACCCAGCUCAUGUAAAAUCGGUGGACCCUGCCCCCCACAGCUUUUCCCCCAGUCGGUGAUGAGAUCUGCCAUGCACAGCUCUCCAGAGGAGUUGCUUUCUGACUGGCUGGAUUUUGGGUCUAGUCCCAACACAUCAGUGGACCUACUGGUCCCAUUCAGAGUCAAGAGGCCAUUCCAACAGCUGGCUCCAUCCUGCCCAUGGACAGCUCCUGAAGCUCUACUCCCUGCUUGCUGAGGGCACCAUGGACGAGGGCAGCCAGAGGUCCGUGCUCCCAGAACGACCCCAGCCAGCAGCCUCAGCUGCAAGAUCACCAGGGACUGCUCCUUAGGCAACUCCCAACGCUGAGCACCACAAAUGGCCCUGCAGGACAAGGGCAAACAACUCCCGGAGGGAUACACCAAUCAAAGGGGAAAGGAUCAGGAAGCUGGGGGGGCUGGAGUGGUGUUGAGCAGUGCCAAGUACUCCCCCAUCACCCUUCCUGUUUCCUACUGGUUUGAGAUUAAUGCUUUGUAACCUUGUUUGGUACUCCCAGGAGAAAUCCCCUUCUGAGGCUCUCUGCACUAAUGUUUAUCCACUAACUGCUCUUAUCUCUGCAACUGUUGCAUUAGAUUUUUCAUAGCACGGCAGCAUCCUGUGGAUUUUUCCAACCGUUUCUCCAGCAGCGCUGACGGCAGCCUGGCAAAUGCUUGGCCUGCGGUGGGAGCACAGCUUGCGAGGAUGAAGCCAGGAGGCCAAGCGCAUCGGCACUGCCGUAUGCAGUGCCCAUGGAAUCACUCCACACUCUUGUUUCUACAGUCUGCAACAAAAUUGUACAAGUCGAGCAGGUGACAAGACGUGCUGGAGGGCUGUUCCCCCUAGGGUGAUCAGAUGUCCCGAUUUUUGGGUCUUCUUAUAUAGGCUCCUAUUACUCCCCACCCCCUGUCCCGAUUUUUCACACUUGUCUGGUCACUCUAGUUCCCCCACCUGUUAUUCUGGCAACAGACAAGAGUUGAGUCUCUGUAAGCUGGGUGGUGUAACCAGAGUGGCGGUAACAAUAUCUUUUUGCUUUAUUGCUGAUCAAGUGACUGAGAGCUAUGUUGGUAUGUUUGUUUGAAUAUACCAUGGUCUGAAUUCUGUAAACACCAAAGGCACCACCCCAAAGAACUGCUGCUCCCCCAGCCACCUCAGAUUCUUGUGGAGGUCAGACUCCCAUCAGGAGUCCCAGCAAGUUUGAGGAACAGCUCUGGCACUUCAUGAUUCGGCUGUGUGCAGGGUGGCGUGAGCUCAAAAGUAAAUAAAAGGGAGCACUAGUUUUACCUACUAAAUUCUAACUCCUUUCCCCUACUGCCAAUUAACUGCAGCCCCUCCUCCUGUAUUUCCUCCCACAAAUCUGAGAUUUAAGGCAUUCAGCACAGCCUCCUACAGGUCUCAUUGUUCAAGAGUGAUAAAUGAGCAUGUCCCCUGUUGUGGCAGGACAGAUGGAAGAGGCCUAGAAUGGGGCAAUGAGGGUGACUGGAGGUUUAGCCUGAAAAGGUUAUGGCACUUGUUUACAGGGUACCACUCUCAAGGUGUAAAGAACGCUCAGAGAGAGGAGAAGACAUUUCCCAGGCUGAAAUAAUCGAAGGAAGACUACAUAGAAGCACAGAAUUUCUGGUUUCAGUUUAUUUUCAGAAUUUUACUGUACAAAGUAUCCAAAGUGUAAAAUGGUUUCAUGUUUCAGUUCAAAACCAAAACCAUCCAGCUUUAACUUAAGAGAACCCAGCUUGGAACAGAACAAUUCACUCUGCUAGACACACAGUGCAUGAACAUCACAGACACCGGGAGUUUGCUACUCAAGUUCACAACUGGUGGGAGGGGGGAAACAAAAACAGAUUUCAGAACUUAUUUCAGACCACGUAUCACUGCAGUUAAAGCCACAUGUGCAGCAAGAGGCUGGUUAGUGUCUAUUCAUUAGAAAAUCUCAGCAGAACUCACCUUACUGUAGGCAGUUUGUGUAGAAAAAGGUAUUACGCUGUACAUUACACAGUGGUCAGAAGAGUUGUGUGGGAGCCAGGAGAUCCUGGUCCCUGGUACACAGUAACAUUGUAUUCAUUACAAGAUACAGGCACAGAGGAGUGUAAGAAUCCUUCACAGAUCUCUAUGCAGGCAGCGAACCACAGCAAAAUGAACACACACGUGUGUGUGUGGCUCCCAAGUGAAUUAGUGCUGGUGAAAGGUGUCAGAUCAACAGGCCUAGAGAAUUCAGUCCUCUCUAUGUACAGGACAGGCACGGGUGGCAGAGGCACAACGCUUCCCCUACACACUGCCCUGCCAUGUGGGGUGAAACUUCUGUCUCUAUUAACUGGCCCCUCUCUCAGAGAGGCCAUACUCGUGGCAGUCAUGCUGCUGGGGAGACUUGGCCCAAGAAGAACCAAACAGAUCAACACAGAAGUUGCACAGGUUACUGACCACCUGUCAGACAGUAACUUUUGGUCAUCAUCUUUAAUGGAGUCAGCGCCAGCCAAUGGGAGGCGAAAGGAUCUGUGUAUCCAUCCCAUUGCCACACAGCCCUGACAGAAGUAAUUUUAUGACUCAGUCCCAAGAGCGCUUCAUUCUCCAUACAGUCCUAGUGGGCAUUACUGAACAACCACCCCUGGCUUCAGACAUUAGAUAGGAAUAACGCACACACCUACUAAGAGACUGCACGUACAAAUCAAGCUGAAUAUGAAAACAACAGACAUCUGGACGUUCAUUUCCUAUUCAUCUAAAUGUCCAUUGUGUGGCAGACUGAAAACUUAAGGACAUUUUGAAGAUAAAGUCUGGAGCCAGAAUACAGUUCUCCCCAAUGACCCAAAGUCAGUUUUAUUUAUAUUUUUUAAGAGGGGAGGCCAGAUUUGCAGGCUUUUUUAAUGUGAUAGCUAUGUUAGCUUAAUUGCCUCGAAUAAGUCUUCCUAUGAAGCGGGGCAAACAAGUUUGUGAUCUUUCAGGCUUCUUUAUCCUUACUGUUUAAAUAAAUUUAUGCCAAUAAGACUUUAAAGCAGUCCCUGGGGCUAAAUGGAAUUGCCAGUUUUUAAGAAACUGGUAGUGGUGUGAUUUUCUAGGAUUUUUAGUGGAGUACAUGGCGGUAGGGGAGGGAAUAGAAGUGUUUCCUGUAGCUGAGAGGCAAGACUGGGAUUAGGAUGGGAUCCACCCAAGAGCCCCGCCUUAUCAUGAGUUCCAGCCUGUGCUCCUGAUGACAUCCAUCUUGGCUGCUACUAGUUCUUCACCAGGCUCUUGGCCUGAGAAACAGAGACCAGGGAGAUGGGAGUGGAGGCUGGAGCAACAGAGGAGGGAGAGUGCGUGUUCUUGGCAAAUGGGUCAUCAGAGGCAGUGAGCCCAGCAGAGGGGGUGGGGAGAGGGAAGAGGAUAGGAGAAGCCAUGGGCAGAGGUGCUGAAAGCUAGUUUACAUUUAUCACCACUGCCCCAUCCAAAGACACUAAUGACUUAUGUUAUUCCUCUGCUAUGGAGGAACGGGGGCUGCUGUCAUGGCGUAUGCUAGAUCAGACCCUGCUCUGCAAGAGUUGUGUCAUGUCACCCUUUGGCUCUGCUUGUUGCCUCUAUUCUCAAUCAAUCCUGCCCCCAAGGGGAGUGAGAUUACCAGCAGCCACUCUAGCCCCCUAGCAGCAAGGGUUGGUUGGGGACCAUAUCUUCUCCCUCUGCCCCACGUAGGGUGGGAGUGCUAUUACCAAUCACCUUGCUCUAGGUCCAUUCCAAUUCCAUUCCUUCCUCGCCCUGCAGAGCAGAGGGGCAGCGUGCUGAACCCACAUGCAGUGGUGAGAAGAGAGUAGUGCCUCAGCUGUGUUUCUGGUGGGCUGUUCAGUUCAUACACUGCCUUUCCCCAUGCUACAGCCCCCGUUAUGGGACAGGCAAGAACCAGGAGACAAGCAUCUGCCCCUUGGAUCCCACAAGGGGCCAAGGACCCUAACGUUUUCAAUAUCCAUCCACUCCACUCUACAAACACCACAUAUCACUUUACUACAGAAAAGUCACCUCAACAAUCUCCAUGGGUCUCAAACUGAUCACAGCAGCUUUGCUUGAAUCUACUUGGGAGGUGCCCUGCUAGACCCAUCCAGGCUUUAGGAUUUGCACCAUGCUGCUGACUGAGAGCAAAGACGCGAAAUAGUGUCUCUGGCAGUCCAAGCUACAUAGUGGGGAGUAGGGGAAAUAGCAGGGAGCAAGGAGAUCGCUCGCCCCUGAGCAACCAGGAGACCCAGCUCCCUAGGGAAAGGCUCAGCCUUAUAUGGACUUCUCCUGACAUUGUUCAAUAGGGAUUUUCCUCAGUCCUUUAGCUUACAGUCAAAGGCUGGGGUUCUUAAACACUUCAAAGUAGCUUUCUAUUCAUUUAAGAACUUUCCAAUAAAAGAGAGGAGAAAAGGAGAGGCAGGUCAGAAUGAAACAGCCCCCUCCAGAGCAAACCCUACAAGCCUUCAUUGCACUGUGCUUCCCGUAAAGCAAAGACUGUGGGAUUGGGUUGGAAACGCUGACACUACCUUGCUGUCCCCCACACCUGAUUCUCAUCCACAAACAGACUAUAAAUGGCAAGUGAAAUAGGCCAGUUUAGUUUCACUGUUCAAUUCUUUAUUAGAAGACAGUUUGUGCUUCGAUAGCAAAUCUCAAGUCACUUCACAAAGGUUACGUUUAGCCUCACAACAUCCCUGUGAGCUAAAUAUCAUCACAGUUCCCCCUUUUGCAAAAGGAGAGAUAAAGGCCCAGAGAAGUGAAGUAACUUUCCUAAGGUCUCACGGUGAUUCUCAUGGCAAAGCAGGGCAUAGAACCCAAGAGUCCUGGCACCCCGUCCCCUAUUCCAACCAAUAACCUCUCCUUCCAUGUUCAGCAAAGUGAAGAAAGGGGAAUGACCUUGUCUCUCUCAUUUGGGUUUAGACAUCUCAGGCAUUAGCAGUAACAAAGUUAAGGGCAUUCCAUUUAAAGGAGGUUUAUGCUAACAGCGUGCCUUUUAGUGACAGACAGAAAUGGUGGCACUUCUAACUGCAGCAGGUAGGUUAUGUAGCAGCUAUGAAGACACUUGGCUUCUAUUUGGUUUUAUGUUAAAUCCUUACAAGCAUUUAAAAACAGAAAGAUAUGUUUCCUGAGCAAAGUGACUGUCAAACAACUCCCAGUUCUGAGGUGGUACGGCAGAAAUCAUGAAAGGAGGAAAUUUAUACUGGGUGCUUUUGUUCUAAAUUCACAUGUCUAAGCCAACUGAGCCAGAGUUGGGGCUCUGAAUUCAGACAGCCAGUUCAACCUUGAUCACAGCUUUAUCCAAUUACCCCCACGGUCCCUGCCCCACAGCCCGACAGAGUCUCUUCUCCAGUUGCAUUUGUUAUCCAAAGGUUGAAGAAACUCACUUUUUAUGACACAUCAUGCAUAGCACUAUGUGACUUUCAUUU
This is a non-coding RNA of Chelonoidis abingdonii (Abingdon island giant tortoise), 5840 nucleotides long. Lineage: Eukaryota; Metazoa; Chordata; Testudines; Testudinidae. The record is from RefSeq and is a predicted model, not a curated record.